This 774-nucleotide ribosomal RNA is filed under the name Cyclaxyra politula. RNAcentral describes it as "partial 16S ribosomal RNA". The stretch from base 368 to 526 matches the Rfam family "Bacterial large subunit ribosomal RNA", at positions 2473 to 2632 of the family's 2925-position model. Lineage: Eukaryota; Metazoa; Arthropoda; Insecta; Coleoptera; Cyclaxyridae. The record is from RNAcentral.
AUAAUUUUAGGUUUAACCUGCCCACUGAAUAUUUAAAUGGCCGCAGUAUUUUGACUGUGCAAAGGUAGCAUAAUCAUUAGUUUUUUAAUUGAAAGCUUGUAUGAAAGGUUGAAUAAGAAAAUUACUGUCUUAAUUUAAAUUUUAGAAUUUUAUUUUUUAGUUAAAAAGCUUAAAUGUUUUUAAAAGACGAGAAGACCCUUUAGAGUUUAAUAUUUUUAAGUAAAAUUUUUUUUAGUAUUUAUAUUUUUAUUAUUUAUUGAUAUUUGAUUGGGGUGAUUUAAAAAUUUAUAAAACUUUUUAUAUUUUAUACUUUAAUUAAUGAAUUAUUGAUCCAAUUAUUUUGAUUAUAAGAUUAAAUUACCUUAGGGAUAACAGCGUAAUUUUUUUUGAGAGUUCUAAUCGAAAAAAAAGUUUGCGACCUCGAUGUUGGAUUAAAAUAAAAAAUUGGUGUAGAAGCUAAUUAUUUGGGUCUGUUCGACCCUUAAAAUUUUACAUGAUCUGAGUUUAAACCGGUGUGAGCCAGGUUGGUUUCUAUCUUUAAAAUAAGUAAAUAUUUUAGUACGAAAGGACCAAAUAUUAAAUUAAUAAUUUAAUUUUAGAUUAAUUUUAUUAUUUUGGCAGAUAAGUGUGAUAGAUUUAGAAUCUUUUAAUGUAAUUUUUACAAAUAAUAUUGUUAUUGAUAGAUUUAAUUUUAAUUUAUAUUUCUUCUUUGAUUUUAAUUAUUUGUGUAUUAAUUGGGGUGGCUUUUUUAACUUUAUUAGAGCGAAAAAUUUU